GCCGGUAUAGCUCAGCUGGUAGAGCAACUGACUUGUAAUCAGUAGGUCCCGGGUUCGACUCCUGUGCCGGCACCA
This 75-nucleotide transfer RNA is filed under the name Pseudomonas aeruginosa. RNAcentral's name for it is "tRNA-Thr". It matches the Rfam family "tRNA". From Rfam's summary of the family: Transfer RNA (tRNA) molecules are approximately 80 nucleotides in length. Their secondary structure includes four short double-helical elements and three loops (D, anti-codon, and T loops). Further hydrogen bonds mediate the characteristic L-shaped molecular structure. tRNAs have two regions of fundamental functional importance: the anti-codon, which is responsible for specific mRNA codon recognition, and the 3' end, to which the tRNAs corresponding amino acid is attached (by aminoacyl-tRNA synthetases). tRNAs cope with the degeneracy of the genetic code in two manners: having more than one tRNA (with a specific anti-codon) for a particular amino acid; and 'wobble' base-pairing, i.e. permitting non-standard base-pairing at the 3rd anti-codon position. The record is from RNAcentral. Lineage: Bacteria; Pseudomonadati; Pseudomonadota; Gammaproteobacteria; Pseudomonadales; Pseudomonadaceae. RNAcentral also lists the same sequence under 1 other name.